RNAcentral lists this ribosomal RNA (305 nucleotides) under uncultured bacterium. RNAcentral describes it as "bacterial SSU rRNA". It matches the Rfam family "Bacterial small subunit ribosomal RNA", at positions 338 to 640 of the family's 1533-position model. The record is from RNAcentral.
CCUACGGGGGGCAGCAGUGAGGAAUAUUGGUCAAUGGGCGGAAGCCUGAACCAGCCAAGUCGCGUGAGGGAAUAAGGCCCUACGGGUCGUAAACCUCUUUUGCCGGGGAGCAAGGGCGGGGACGUGUCCCGGCCCGGAGAGUACCCGGAGAAAAAGCAUCGGCUAACUCCGUGCCAGCAGCCGCGGUAAUACGGAGGAUGCGAGCGUUAUCCGGAUUUAUUGGGUUUAAAGGGUGCGUAGGCGGGCUGUUAAGUUUGUGGUUAAAUGUCGGGGCUAAACCCCGGAUUGCCAUUAAAACUGGCGGG